This 411-nucleotide ribosomal RNA is filed under the name uncultured bacterium. RNAcentral's name for it is "bacterial SSU rRNA". It matches the Rfam family "Bacterial small subunit ribosomal RNA", at positions 29 to 483 of the family's 1533-position model. The record is from RNAcentral.
AACGAACGCUGGCGGCAUGCCUAACACAUGCAAGUCGAACGAAUGGUUUCGGCCAUUAGUGGCGCACGGGUGAGUAACGCGUGGGAAUCUGCCCAGCAGUGGGGGAUAACCUCUGGAAACGGAGGCUAAUACCGCAUACGCCCCUCGGGGGAAAGGCUUGCUGCUGCUGGAGGAGCCCGCGUCGGAUUAGGUAGUUGGUGGGGUAACGGCCUACCAAGCCUGUGAUCCGUAGCUGGUCUGAGAGGAUGAUCAGCCACACUGGGACUGAGACACGGCCCAGACUCCUACGGGAGGCAGCAGUGGGGAAUAUUGGACAAUGGGCGCAAGCCUGAUCCAGCAAUGCCGCGUGAGUGAUGAAGGCCUUCGGUUGUAAGACUCUUCGUCCACCGACCGAUGAUGACGGUAGUGGGA